This 253-nucleotide ribosomal RNA is filed under the name uncultured bacterium. RNAcentral's name for it is "partial 16S ribosomal RNA". It matches the Rfam family "Bacterial small subunit ribosomal RNA", at positions 524 to 776 of the family's 1533-position model. The record is from RNAcentral.
UACAGAGGAGCCAAGCGUUGUCCGGAUUCACUGGGCGUAAAGGGUGCGUAGGCGGUCAUUUAAGUCUGACGUGAAAUCUCCGGGCCUAACCCGGAAACUGCGUUGGAAACUAUCUGACUAGAGGAAUGGAGGGGAGACUGGAAUACUUGGUGUAGCAGUGAAAUGCGUAGAUAUCAAGUGGAACACCAGUGGCGAAGGCGAGUCUCUGGACAGUUCCUGACGCUGAGGCACGAAAGCCAGGGGAGCAAACGGG